This 215-nucleotide ribosomal RNA is filed under the name uncultured fungus. RNAcentral describes it as "partial small subunit ribosomal RNA". The stretch from base 89 to 215 matches the Rfam family "Eukaryotic small subunit ribosomal RNA", at positions 737 to 864 of the family's 1831-position model. The record is from RNAcentral. Lineage: Eukaryota; Fungi.
GGCCUGGUUGGAUGGUCUGCCCUAGGGCAUGUACUGUCCUGACUGGGUCUUACCUUCUGGCAAGCUGUCGUGUCACUUGUGGUGCGGCAGGGAGUCAGGACUUUUACUUUGAAAAAAUUAGAGUGUUUAAAGCAGGCAUUUUGCUCGAAUACAUUAGCAUGGAAUAAUAAAAUAGGACGGUUGGUUCUAUUUUGUUGGUUUCUAGGAUCACCGUA